Molecule: RNA transcript, 3341 nt
Organism: Setaria italica (foxtail millet)
Lineage: Eukaryota; Viridiplantae; Streptophyta; Magnoliopsida; Poales; Poaceae
Exons: 3
Source: RefSeq, a predicted model, not a curated record
AGGGCCUCGACACGUCACCCCUACGCCGCGCGCCGCACGAUCGCAAGGGGAUGGUGUCGCGUCCCCUUGCGACCGGAUGCGACCUCCCCCAGUAAGGUCCCCGCUCCCACCCCCGCCGCCGCCGUUGCGUCAUUGCCCGGUCGCCGGACGUGGGUGACCGGUCCUUCCGUGCGCGCGUGGGCCUCUCCUCCUCUGCUGCUUGCGUCGCCGCCGCGCUGAGGUAUGGGCUUCUUCCUUUUAGAUGGAGCUUGCGUGCCGCGGACGACGGCCUGGCAUUUGUUUUCCCUGUACGUCGGCGAGGUGUCUGCAGUCUGCGUUCCUUUCUUCCCCUGUCGCCUCGCCUUCGACUGACGCUCAGCCGGUUCGCCCACCAUCCCUUGGAGUCCUUGGUCUUCGAUCCGAAUCUGUGCCAAUCAGGCGGCCAUCAGAAUCGUGUGCGCAAUUCCUCUCCUCCUCUCCUUGCAUCCGCCAUUCCUAAUGUGAUUUGUUGUGUGGAGGCUGUGAUGGAUCAUGGAUUGCCUUCCUUCCUUGCGCAAGCCAUUCUCAAUUCUUUGAACCACCAACCCAAUAGCCGGAGUGGGUGUCAACAUGAACAACGCCCAACAACCGCUCGAGGAAAUGCCUCCAAGGUAAGCAAAGAUUCUUCAUGAAUCCCCUUGCAAAAUUGCCAUGGAUUUGGGUUAGGAGCUGUUCGGUGAGUCUAUUUUGGUUCUACAACUUCCAUUAUUGUUUUUCAGUUUGAUCCCUUUACAUCUUGGUUCCCUAAAUAUCGGAUUGUCUGUACAAAUUGUGGCAGCUCACCUGUUUGAAAUGUUCUCCCUCAAUCUGUUCCUCACCUUUAUGGCUUUAUCUGACUCAUGUUAAAUAAGUAUGCCACCAGAUCCCAAUACGUCUCUUUCGAAUGAUUUUUAAUGUAUAUACCUCAUAUAACUCUUGGCUUCAUGAACCAAGGUCAGCUGGUGGUCGAACCAGUAAGCGCAUAUGCUAGAUAAGAUUACUGCUUCUGCAUAUGGCGUUAUACCAAAUUAUGUGCGAAAAUCCCUCAAAGAUAGUAAUAUUGGCUAUUAAAAUAAUAAGUGUUAUGAUCAUGAUAAUAUCCAUAUGCUCCUGUUGUAAUUAGCACAUCAUUUUUUUUCUCCACAUGAAUUGUUUUUCUAUCUAUCAGGUCUGAAAUUUUAGCACAUUACAUUUUGUGUGAGGAACACGGGAAACAUAGGUAGCCAAGUCUAAUUAUCAACACUCUCCUAAUCAAUAGUUGUAAUGUGCUCAUGUGAUGGUUAAUAUAUCUCAAUUGGAAGUUGGAACAACCAGUUAAAUGACACGUUCUGAAAAUUGGUUAAUGAAAACGUGCAGAGUUCAAUGGCAAACUGUCCAGAUCAAAGAUUUGAAUCAAACAUGAAUGUUCAGUAAUCAGUACUGCACCCAUUUUUUUUAGUAGCCACUUCACUCACUUUCAAAUUCAGCUCUGCAUUCUUACUUGACAUAGAAUUUUGACUGGACAUGUGCAUCCAUUGGUAGUUUGAAGAUCAACCCAUUUUGUCCAAUGAAAGCAUUUAUAUAUGUGGGUACAUAAUUUUUACACAAAGGAUUAUGGAUCUCAUUUUGUUUAUGUCCACUUAAUUGCAUCCUUUAGAUAUAAACGGGUAAGCUCUGCAAAGACAUCAUUCUGCAAGUAAUGGAACUAUUUCUUCUUGACUUACUUCUAAACACCAUAGUUAUCUCUUUUAUUAGCUGAGAUGUUAAGUGAAAGGGUCCUUAAAACAUUGUAAAGCAUUUAUUAUGUAUCAUCCACAUCAGAUUAUGAAAAUAUAGUUUUUUAUAUUUACUGUUGCAAUAAUUGGCAGCAGAAUUUAUUUGAUUUAAAAUUGGGAAUGGAUGAAAGUAAAUGAAUUGACAUUUCUUGCUGAGUGUUGACAUAAUGGAAGUAGUAUCAUCGAUAGUUGUUGCACCAAAAUAGCUCCUGUAUGAUGAUUUGGAAAUAUAAUUUAAUAAAGAACUUAUUUGUUGCAAAUGACCAUCCCAACAAAAUGGUGUUUUAUGAAUAUAAGAGAGCAUUAACAUACACUGCUUGCCUGCUAUUAUGGUGGUUCCUGGAUUUUUUGCUCUUUGAUUGUUUUAUGCACAACUGAAAUUAUUAACCACUCACCAACUUUAUGUCCAUAUAUACUAAGGCUAAACUGGGUGACAUAUUGUUCAUCAAAUCUUUUUCUGAUGAGCUUCUUUUGUGCUUACAGCUGACACUGGGCUGCUGGUGGACAGCUUCCCUAAAGGUAUGUGCCGUGUUUGAUAAUAUGUUCUUUGAACCAUCUAUUUUCCAUGUUUAUUUCUGAGGUUUUGUUUAUAUCUAUGGAAUUCAUUUUGUUAUCGUUUAUCCCUAACCAAUACCAUGUUUAGAUAUGUAUUUGCGAAUUUCCAGAAUAUGUUCCGAUUACAGAUUAAUAUGUCUCAUACCAAGUAUCACUGAAAUUUUGAAAUGAGUUUUGCAGCAUUAUUGGUCUUGAAGUAUUUAUAUCCAAGUCACUAAUAGAUGCUGAUCAAGAAUAUCUUCAAGAAUCUGUUUCCAAAUCAGUUCCUAUGGAUAUGAGUGUGAGCUAGGUGUGUAACAAAUUUUGGUCCAUUGAACCCUUGCUUCACGAGGUAUAUAUCAUAUAUGAUACUGGUUGACAAUGCUGGUGACAGUUCAGAGAUAGAUAAAACUAAACUUCCAUACUACGAUUACAACACUUAACUGCUUGCAUAAUACUAAUGUACACUGCUACACACAUGUCAACGUGGUUUAAAUAAAUAGUUUAGUAGCACGUGAUGCAAAACAUUCUAACUAGAACCUAAGCUGGGCAAUAAAAGCAUUCUCAUUCAGCAAGCGCACUGAACUGGUGAUUGUGUCAAGACAUUCAUGAUGAUCAGAAGCAAGAGACUGUAAAUCAAGGUGCUCAUUCCCUGUGUCAGAUUAUAUCAAGUUGUGUGUGAAAUUUCCUUGAAGAUGAAGUAAUAAUUUGUGUUACUUUUGAGAUCAUAUCUACAUGCUUUGAAACAAAUCGUGUCUUCCUUUUUCUUCUGCAUCAUUCUUUUUCUGUGUAUUCAGGUUGCAAGUAGAGCAUGUUGAAUUAUUAUUGUCCAUUUGAGGAUAAAGUAAUUGACUAGCGAUCUAUAGGGUGAUGAUUUGCUUUUGUGGUUCUGUUACAAAUUCUGUGUAGAUUGGUUGUGUAAUCUCAGUAGUGCAUAGCAAAUGAGCUAUGUGAGUGAUUCUUUUUUCUUUCUGCGGGAAGCUGUGUAAGUUUUAAUGGACCAAAGUCACAAAUUGCAAAAUGUAUAAUGUAUUUAUAGUAUUAACUUUUUCAUGA